Molecule: small nuclear RNA, 162 nt
Organism: Talpa occidentalis (Iberian mole)
Lineage: Eukaryota; Metazoa; Chordata; Mammalia; Eulipotyphla; Talpidae
Product: U1 spliceosomal RNA
Exons: 1
Source: RefSeq, a predicted model, not a curated record
AUUUUUACCCAGUAAGGGAGACAUCAUAAUCAUAAAGGUGGUUUUCCCAGGUUGGGGCUCAAACAUGAUACUCAGGAUGUGCUGACCUCUGCAACAUCUCUGAAUGUGAGGAACUUGACUGCCUAAUGUGUGGUAGCAGGGACUGCAUUAGCACUUUCCCCU